AUUUAAUGUGUAGAUGCAGGCAUUGUAUAUAAACUUUACAGAUUAAUUUGGAGCAAAUUUGUAAUAUUGAAUAGUAUCAUAAAAUUAAGGUGAGAAAGAUGAAUAAUAAAACUAAAUCAGUUGAUCUGAUGAGUAUCAGUCCAAGUAUUUGUUCUGGAAGAUUCAAUCCUGAAGGUCCUAGAGGGGGGUGAAUAGGCUUUUAUUACUUUUUCGUCCAAUUCCGUUCACAAGGAUAGCUAUCAUGAUAACAGGGAGACGUAGUAAUAAAUAAAAGAACAAGUACUGGAAAGUAAAAGAAAUAACACCAGUACGCUUUUUAUUCGCAGAAACUCUGCACCAAGGAGAAAAACUGCGUGUCCCUAACUCUUGAGGGACAAACCUUUCCACUAUGUAAAACUCACUUCUUACAAGAUUAUAGUCUAGGGAUACAACGACGAUUUGCAAUCAUGCCUAGUCUACCCACUAGUCUAGAUCUAUCUCUCUUGUCUCUGAGUGACUCACCUCACUCCUCACAAGAUUAUAGUUCUAGGGAUACAACAACGACUUGUUAUCCUACCUAGUCUACUAGUUUAGACCUACCUCUCUUGUCUCUCAAGUGUUUACAUAUAAAGGUAUAAGAAGAAGUUUAACUCAGAACUCAGCUAAAGCCUUUAACUGAUUCUUCUUGAACACUUCUCAAAAUACUCAACUCAGAACUUAGCUAUCCUAAUGAGAGGGAUUCUUCAGACCUCAGCUAACGCCUUUAACUGACUCUCUAGAACUCAGCUCUCCUCGAUCAACUGAUCCUUCUUGAAUACUUCUGGGGUUGCUACACUACCAUCACUCAUGAUAUGCAAAAUGCUAAUAGGUUUAUGAAAAUAGUUUUUGCUCUUGCUCUAAGAUUUACAAUCACCAAGGGAAGACUUAAAGGCAAAUGAACAAUGCAAGGUAAAACCUAGACCCAAUUAAAACAAUGUAGAAAACUACAUCUUGAUAACCAAGGAGCAAGAAGAGACUUGCUCCAUAUAUAUAGGCAAAGUGCAAGCUAAAGGAGAGCAUGCACGUUUACCAAAAUGAGAGGCAACUUUUGAACUUUAGUUCUUGGCCAAACUCAUAAAGUGAGAUGGCCAAGGGACAAACAAAAGGCUCCAAGAGAGUAAAGACAAACACAACUCUCUUAUAUGAUAGUGGUCCAAUAAGGAAGAAACAAAAGGUUUUGUGAAUAAAAGAGACACAACAAAAUAUAUUCCUAUAUGAGGACAAAUAGGCCAACUAAUAGCUUGGGCGGUGCAUCACAUAGAUUAGCAGCUGACUUGAUUUGUGUAUCACAAAACCCAGUUGGACUAAAAAAGGAGCUGACCUAAAAGUGCUUUAGUCAUAUGCUCAUGGGUUGGAAGAACAACACAACCCUAGACUAACUUAGAGCCAAGCACAAUGAAAAAUGUUUUGCUAAAAGAGAUUUGAAAUUCAAAUACUUGAAAAGCUGAAGCAAAACCAUUUAAAUCUGCACGAAGUCAGACUCAGAGAUUAGGAUAGAUACAACAGAGGUAUCCAUCAAAUCUAGAUGGCAAGCAGAGCUGCCAUCCUGAAUGAAUAUGAUGCACAUGCAUGAACUACCUUAUGUACAUGAGAUAAAAACAAAGAGCCAGCUAAUAUAUUAGUUUGUGUAUCACAAACCUAGCUGGAGCCUCUAAGCUCUAGUCAUGUGGUCACGGGUUGGAAACACUAUACAACCCUAGACUGACUUGAAGCACCAUGGCAGCGACAAAUGUUUUGCUAAAGGGAUUUGAAUUCAAAUAGGAGAAUUCAAACUAAUGAUACACAAAUAGCAAAAGCAUCUAGACAUGCAUACAUAUAGACCCAAAAGAUUAGGACAGAUAUACCAGGAGGUAUCAUCCGAUCUAAGAUGACAAGUAAAGCUGCUAUUCUUAGUGAAAAGCAUGAGAUGUAUAUGCAUGAACUACCUGAUGCACAUGAGAUCUUGGCAAGUCUUCAUUCUUCACUUGUGAUAUCUUUACCAUCAAGAUAUAUAGAAUUCUCAGUGAAAAGCAUCAGAUGCAUAUGCAUCAGUACCUAGGACACAUGUGAUCUUGUCAAGUUUUCAUUCUUUACUUAUGAUAUCCUUAAUUAUCAUCAGGAUAUAUAAAAUAGCUUGUGUCCUGUGUUUUGAUCAUAAAAGGGAUAUCCAACAAUCCUUAUACCAACAAAUCCAAUGACAUGAUUUGC
This 2205-nucleotide long non-coding RNA is filed under the name Fragaria vesca (wild strawberry). Its description in RNAcentral is "long non-coding RNA (FVES_LNC001557)". Lineage: Eukaryota; Viridiplantae; Streptophyta; Magnoliopsida; Rosales; Rosaceae. The record is from RNAcentral.